CAGUCGCCACGGUAAUACGGAGGGGGCUAGCGUUGUUCGGAAUUACUGGGCGUAAAGGGCGCGUAGGCGGUUUGUACAGUUGGAUGUGAAAUUCCUGGGCUUAACCUGGGGGCUGCAUUCAAUACGUGCAGGCUUGAGUGUGGAAGAGGGUUGUGGAAUUCCCAGUGUAGAGGUGAAAUGCGUAGAGAUCGGGAGGAACAUCAGUGGCGAAGGCGGCCAUCUGGGACAACACUGACGCUGGGGCACGAAAGCGUGGGGAGCAAACAGGAUUAGAUACCCCUGUAGUCCCUGUCUCUUAUAC
Molecule: ribosomal RNA, 301 nt
Filed under: uncultured bacterium
Lineage: Bacteria
Description: partial 16S ribosomal RNA
Rfam family: Bacterial small subunit ribosomal RNA
Source: RNAcentral